Nasonia vitripennis (jewel wasp) is the source of this 4081-nucleotide RNA transcript. It is a transcript of the gene named tetraspanin-7-like, with no coding region annotated. Lineage: Eukaryota; Metazoa; Arthropoda; Insecta; Hymenoptera; Pteromalidae. The transcript is spliced from 4 exons. The record is from RefSeq and is a predicted model, not a curated record.
CGUACACGUCGCACGCGAUUCCACGCCGAUAGAGCCGUUACCGAAUCAAGUAGUGCGCUCGCGCAAGGUCGCGGGGAUCGCGGAGGGUAAUAAGCUCGUGCGUUAAGCGUACAGCAGCGGAGAGUCGGCUUCGUUAGCGAUCGCUCGCGAGGUGCUUCGUAAUCGGCGCUGUCAAGCACCGGCACAAGCACCGGCAGCGCGAGCCAGUCAGUCGCUCGAGGGCAGCCGAUCCGUCCGCAUCGCCGCCGCAGCGCGCACCACCCUCGUCAUGGGCGUCUCGAGCGAGGACAGCUCGGGAGGAGGAGGAGGCUUUUCCUUCCCGAAAAACCUGUCGCUCUGGUGGAACGAGGAGACCGAGUACGUGCUGCAGAGGAUCGAGCGCUGGGCCGCGUACGCGCGCGGCUACAACCGGCUGCGCUCGGUCCGGCUCUCGCCCGGGCGCAUGACCAUGCAGGAGGAGCCGGAGAGCCGCUGGAGCAUCAGCCAGGCGACCAGCCGGCUCGUCGUCGAGAACAACUGGUCGCCGAGCUUCCGGCAGAGGAGGCAGAGGGCCUCGACGCCGGCCGAGCAGACCCGGCUCAACUGCUGCGCCCUGAGCAACCUCAGCUACAAGUCCAACGGCAACCUGGACAGCAACUGCCUGGAGGCCUACAGCCUGGACCACAGCAUCUACUUCAAGACCAUCGGCGAGAUCCGCAGCGAGCUGGGCUCGAAGGCCGCGGGGACCCAGCAGCAGCAGAGGACGACGCCGCUGGACUGCGGCGACUUCCUCUCCUCGGACUUUGACGACGAGGACGAGGUGGACCAGCUCGAGCUCGGCUGCAACGCCUACGGCAGCAGCGGCGACGAGCUCCAGGACGACGACUCCGAGGAGCGAGCCUCGGCCGGCAGCGGCGUCAGCCAGCUCUGCCGGAGCCAGCUGAACGAGGACGAGAUCAACAACAACGUCGUGCUGAUGGGCUUCCAGAGGAAGCUCGCUGCGGCGCAGUAAUCAUCGCGGUAAUCAUCACAUCGACCGACCCGGACAUCGACAUCGGCCUGCGGUUUCGUCAUCUCUCCCAAUCAUCCCCCACACUCGCGUAUACAUCCUGCAAAAAGCAUCCCCGCACGCACGCACGCUGCGCAACGACGGCGCGGGGGGGGGAGGGGGGAGGGGGGGGUACAGGAUAUGAGCUGACUAGCUUACGUGCGAACCGUACUGCGGAGUUAUUUUCAAACCGGGGGCGAUUCGGCGCAUCGCACAGCCCCGUAUACGUGUGUGCGUCGACUCACACCCAUGCAAGGUCUGCGCGAAAGGCCGAGCGCGCUCUCGCGCAAGCACACAUCGAUCCGAGGGGAAAAGCUCGGCUGCGAGUCCUCCGCGAGCCUUGACGCGCGCGGAGACCAGUGCACCCGGAAGAGACAGGAGAGUUUCACGCUCGCCGACGAGUCCUCUGUGCAGCAGCCAUGGCCAAGCAGCUGGAGAGCGUCGCGGCGAUGGCCUGCAUGACGGUCCUCCUCAUGCUCUUCAACUUCGCCUUCACCUGCUCGGGCCUCCUCAUGCUCUGCGUGGGCAUAUGGACGAAGCUCCAGCUGACCGAGUACGCGGACGUGGGCAUCGAGAGCAGCGGGGCCGCGCUCCUCGCGCUCUCCUGCCUCGGCGCCCUGGUCGCCCUCGUCGGGAUCCUCGCCUGCUGCUGCACCACUAGGCAGCAUCCCGCUCUCCUCUACCUCAUUGCGAUGUUGGCGGUGUAUAGAGCAGUAGGCCUUGAACUUGUUCUCCACUCUCUCGACAGCUGCACUGCUGCGGCAACAGAGCCUACACCGACUGGCUCAACAUGUCCCCGCCGAGGAUCGUGCCCAGCUCGUGCUGCAGCGUCGAGGAGGGCGAGUGCGACACCACCAAUACCGAUGAUAUCUACACUCAGGGCUGCUAUAACCGCGUGAUCUACUUCAUCAAGAGCAACAUCGGCCUGGUGGCGGGCAGCGCCCUGGGGGUGGCGGUCUUCCCGAUGCUCGGCGUCUUCCUGGCCUGCUGCCUGGCGAGCUACAUCAACAAGGUCAACUACGAGCAGAUCGCUUAGACGCGACGUAUCUGCGAGAGAAAAUUGUGUGCACAACUAGCUGCGAUGAAGCAUAAGUAUCAGCAGCAGCCGCAGGAGCUGUUCCGCGCCGACCAGUGCCGACAGCUGCUGUACAGGCCGGGCCAGCCGAUCGCCAUCAGGCCGCCCCAGGUGCCGGACCUCAUUCGACAUCCGCGUCCCGGCGGUCGGUACAAUUACCCGCCGAUCUGCCGAUCUCCGGCCGCCCUCUCGACCGGCGGCCGAUCCUCGACCUCCUCCGGAUCGAAAUCGGCCCAGGCCCAUCGGCUCGAGCUCGUGCUGGACCUCAGACGCCUCCAGCAGCUACGCUCCAUGAACUCCUAUAACGACGCACCCAACUCCAUUCCACCCGGUUACUGACUGCAUGAUUACAUGUAAUAUGAUUGAGAUAAAACAAUCUUCAUCGCCUUGGUUCCAAUAUACAAACGAUCCUUUUACCGAUCAUCGCUAUAUUUUUGUAUCGCGCGCUGUCUCUCUCUAUUUCUCGUGUGAGAUGUGUGCUGCAAUUCACUACUAUCUUCCGCGCCCAGUGAAACCCUUGUGAUGGGGGGCCAUCCAGGCCUUGGCCCCCCCCCCCCCCCCCCCCUCGUAAUAUGCGCUUCCGCCCAGAUCAAUCGAUCGGUCUAUUGUGUCGAGUAUAUGAUGUAGACGCAGACGAUCAUCGUGUAGUUGUAUAGUUGUAUGGCAUAUAAUAGUCGAUGCUUGUCUGGGCUGGAAGCGCGCCCCGUGCACUAUAUUUUCUGUCGUGAGCUCUCGGAUAGAAAUCGCCAAGAAAAGUCUGACAAAUAUCGAAGGCCAAAGGAUUUAAAAUCCCGAUUAUUAAAUUAUAUCGAGAAUCGAGUGUAAACAAGAGAUGAUAGAUAUAUCCUACUCGUAUAUCCCGUCCCCUCAGUCCCCGUAUACACACGACUCCUUAUUCAAUAUGAAACGAGUCAAUGUCGAUGUCGAUGUAUACUGGUCUAACUAUCACAAAGAAAUCUUCAACAACGAUCGUUUAAUCGCAUCAUCUGGUAUACUUGUAAUUCCAAUCUAAUCUGUAAGAUCAUCAUCUCAUCCUCGUCGUCUCACCUUCAUCAGCUUUUCUUAGCGAACACGAGUUAGGCGAUUUGAUUUAUCCUUUAUUUUGCUUCUUAUAGUUUGGCAUCUAUAACGGGCUGGAGACCUGGUGACGGUACUUUGCACGCGUUUUUUGAUAAAUUAGCGUUGCUACACUUUUGUAUCUUUACCGUGAUUCGUAAAAAUAUAAGCAAAGCUUAAAAAAAAGUGUAAAAGCAAAAAUUGUUAAAAAUAUUAAUAACUCUGAUCAAUCAAAACCGAUGUAUGCGUUUUUAGGUUUAUAUACAUUCGAUGACGAGCACCUGAUACGACAACUGUACUGAAUCUUCUCAAUAAGCUACAAGCAUUGGCCUCAAUUUUCCUAUACGCGCAUUUAUUGAAUUUACUGAAUAUACAACGUGUACAAAAUGCCCUUCGACCGAGUCUCGCAGUGCUCACUCGUCUGUGCGAAGCAUCUUCACCAGGCCCUACUCUCGAGAUCUAUAUUUGUAGUUACAUCUACUUUUUACGAUGGAAAAAAAGAGUAACGGAUAAAACAAAGAGAGAUAUCUAUCGGUCAUAUUUUUGAUGAGCAAGGUUCCAGAAUCUUCCAAAAAACCAACGGAAAGGUGCUGCAUGCUUGCACGAGCGAUCGUGCAAGUUUACACAUAUAGUUGUAGAUGACGUUCCAUACGAGCAUUUUCAAUCAUUACCACAUACGUCACAAUUAACUUAUACUGUUAUAUUACAAAAUGAUAUUAUAAUGUUGAAGUAAUUUAUACUUUUCUUCUUACAAAUACAAUAUUUAAAAGUUGUUAAGAAACUUAUUCAAUGUAUUUUCAAGUCGAUGAGUCUACGUUGUUAGCUUACUAUUUUAAACUGAAGAGUAUUUCAAAAAACAUUUAUUGUCAGAAACUUGAUGUAAUUCUUCAAAGUAUGUUAUUAAAUAAUUCUGGAAAUAAUAA